AAGUUAAUGAGCUUGAAUAGCAUAUGUUUUGAAAACAUAAGAUAAAAAUAUAACUUUUUAUUAACUUA
RNAcentral lists this transfer RNA (68 nucleotides) under Austrosimulium sp. RNAcentral's name for it is "tRNA-Ser". Lineage: Eukaryota; Metazoa; Arthropoda; Insecta; Diptera; Simuliidae. The record is from RNAcentral.